AAAAGAAACAAAUGAAAGCAAACGAAACAGAGAAGAACAGGGGAGAAAGAAAGGAAAGAAGAAAGAAAAGGGGAAAUAAGGUUUAUGAAGCUUGGAGUUAAUUGCCAACAAAGAACCUGAAGCAUCAGCAUCGAAAGGAAAGGAGAAAGUCAUCGAGGACUAAAACGGGAGAAUUACGGUGUGUAUUACUAUAAUUCGAAUUUUAAUUAUUAUUGAUUGCUGAAUUUUUUUUUAUUGUUAUGGAUGGUAAGUAAGACUUGAGGUAAGUAUGUGAAAUUGAUAUGAAUAUUGAGUGAAAAUGAAAGUGAUGCAAAUUGAAUCAAAUUGAAUUAAAUAA
Molecule: long non-coding RNA, 337 nt
Organism: Gossypium arboreum
Lineage: Eukaryota; Viridiplantae; Streptophyta; Magnoliopsida; Malvales; Malvaceae
Exons: 2
Source: RefSeq, a predicted model, not a curated record